RNAcentral lists this long non-coding RNA (345 nucleotides) under Lathyrus oleraceus (garden pea). RNAcentral's name for it is "Pisum sativum (pea) long non-coding RNA (PSAT_LNC028768)". Lineage: Eukaryota; Viridiplantae; Streptophyta; Magnoliopsida; Fabales; Fabaceae. The record is from RNAcentral.
UGUGGCUGUUCUCAUUGUUUCUUUAAUUAUUUAUUGUUAUCAGUUAUAUUUUCAAAAUAAAAAGUUUCCGUUAUUUUCUUGUUAUCAAUCACAGUAGCAAAUUGAUGUUAUUCCACCCUUAUUCCAUUUGUUAUUCCUUGGUUAGUCAUUUGCUGUUUUUCUUUCAUUUAUGUACCAUUGUUCAUGACAAGUGAAAACCAAUGAUCUUUAUGCUUGUGGUUUGUUUCGGGCCAUUUGUUACUCGUUGGAUUUUGGUGUUGACUGGAUUAUGCUGCUUUCAUGUGUAAUAUUUAUUCUUGUAUUGUCGCUGUUAGAUAUUCAGUAUGUCAUAAACCAAAUUAAAUC